GGUGUUUUAAGAGUUUAAGUAUUGGGCUAAAAAAAAAUUUUGAUUUACACAUAUUCGGUUGAAUUCUAGAUUGCUGUUGAUCUGUUUUGAAUUACAACUCUGGGAUCAUAGAGUUGAAUUAUAUGCUUAAUAUUUGUGUGGUUAUGUGCUCCUUAUAGUCUAGUUUAUGUGCGCGAAAGAACCGAAUCGAUUCGAUUAGCGAGCUAGGAGAUAUGACCGUUUUAGUAUAGUAUGGUGCUGAAAAUUCUGGGCAGGUUUGUCCUGUUCCAGGCUCUGUUUUACAGCUUUAAACUUGGAUUUUCUUUCUGAAAAUUUUACUGUAGGUUGGAAUAAUAUUUAGGAGUGUCUCAUAAAAAUUUCGUAUUAAAAAGAUAAAUUUUCAAUUUAUUAAAAAUCAUAGACCGAGGGCUGUUUGAACUAUUUGUUCUAUUUUUCUUUCUUUGCUAGUGCAUAGUAUGAGGUUAUACUUGACUAGUUGCAUAUGAUUGAUUAUUACAUUGAUUGGCUCGGUUAACCUUGUAUAUCUAAUUAAAAGUGUUUUGCGUAUAACAAGUUAGCAAUCCUGCUAAAAGAUUUUAUUAUAUGUUUACUACAAGUCAAGACAGAUUUUCUUAUGUGUUUACUGCAAGUCAAGGGAUCUUUUUAUAUUAAUAAUUCAUGUGUUAGCAAUAGUAUUGGUUGGUUGUUGGCAUUGCAAACAGGUGGAUAAGCUUAUAAACAGAGGAGAUGCUGCCGAAUUUUCGUUAGAAAUUAUAUGGAUUUAAUGCCUAUAAAAAGGGUUGUUUGUACAACUAUGUGCUAUGUGUUUAUGUGACUGUGGUACGUAUAUGCGAAGGGUAGAUAUAUAUAUAGGUCUUAAUGCAAUUCAGGGUUAGUCAAUAUGUCUAAUCCGACGACUGAAAUACUAUUUUAUCAUCGUAUAGAAUUGAAGACAUUGACCGAGGCAUUAAUCGAGAAGUGAUUGAAAGGGGUAUUCAGAAAUAGCCAAGCAGAAUGUUACAAGUUGAAGUAGGACGGAGAUUUGUUAUAGAUAAAAGUGUGUCAGAAGCUGGCAGAAAGGAAUGAUUAUGCUGUAUAUAGUGUUACUAGGAAUCUGAGCUAAACUUUGGAGUUAAGCUAGGAAUAAAGAUGAUUCACUUAAGACUAGGCAAGGAUUGCAAGUGGUUGAGUUUCAAGCAGAUGGACAGAAUUGAAGACAUUGACCGAGGCAUUAAUCGAGAAGUGAUUGAAAGGGGUAUUCAGAAAUAGCCAAGCAGAAUGUUACAAGUUGAAGUAGGACGGAGAUUUGUUAUAGAUAAAAGUGUGUCAGAAGCUGGCAGAAAGGAAUGAUUAUGCUGUAUAUAGUGUUACUAGGAAUCUGAGCUAAACUUUGGAGUUAAGCUAGGAAUAAAGAUGAUUCACUUAAGACUAGGCAAGGAUUGCAAGUGGUUGAGUUUCAAGCAGAUGGACAGGUAGAGUAUUUAGGAUGGUGUCAUUAAGACUAGAUGCAGUUGGAGUUCUGCAAUUCAAUUCAGUUGGAAAUUAGAUUUGUUUAUUUGGUUAUCAGCUACUCUUCUUAUCGAGGUUUAGCUGAUAAUGUUGUUUAAUUUGUAAAUAAGAUUUUAUAGUUUUAGUUUCUGAUUUCAAUGCUGUAGCCUGUAUGCGAUCCUGUUUUCAGGGGGUGAAAUUGAUUUUGAAUUAAAGACCUU
This is a long non-coding RNA of Daucus carota subsp. sativus, 1688 nucleotides long. RefSeq lists it as uncharacterized. Lineage: Eukaryota; Viridiplantae; Streptophyta; Magnoliopsida; Apiales; Apiaceae. The transcript has 4 exons. The record is from RefSeq and is a predicted model, not a curated record.